This 555-nucleotide ribosomal RNA is filed under the name Malassezia furfur. Its description in RNAcentral is "LSU rRNA". It matches the Rfam family "Eukaryotic large subunit ribosomal RNA", at positions 110 to 652 of the family's 3401-position model. The record is from RNAcentral. Lineage: Eukaryota; Fungi; Basidiomycota; Malasseziomycetes; Malasseziales; Malasseziaceae.
CAAAUUUGAAAGCUGGUACCUUCGGUAUCCGCGUUGUAACCUCGAGACACGUUUUCCGUGCGGCGCUAUGGACAAGUUCCUUGGAACAGGACAUCGUAGAGGGUGAAAAUCCCGUACUUGCCAUGGAUGUACCGUGCUUUGCGAUACGUGCUCUAAGAGUCGAGUUGUUUGGGAUUGCAGCUCAAAAUGGGUGGUAGACUCCAUCUAAAGCUAAAUAUCGGGGAGAGACCGAUAGCGAACAAGUACCGUGAGGGAAAGAUGAAAAGCACUUUGGAAAGAGAGUUAAAAGUACGUGAAAUUGUCGAAAGGGAAGCGCUUGAAGUCAGCCAUGCCGCUCAGGACUCAGCCUGGCUUUUGCUUGGUGUAUUUCCUGGGUAGCAAGUCAGCAUUGGUUUGGAUCGUCGGAGAAGCAUAGUCGGAAUGUGGCGCCCUCGGGCGUGUUAUAGCCUUCUAUUGGAUACGACGAUCUAGACCAAGGAACGCAGCGCGCCUUAUGGCGGGUCUUCGGACACCUUCGCGCUUAGGAUGCUGGCGUAAUGGCUUUAAGUGGCCCGU